UAGCCGUAAACGAUACUCGCUAGGUGUCGGCCACGGUGCGACCGUUGUCGGUGCCGUAGGGAAGCCGUGAAGCGAGCCACCUGGGAAGUACGGCCGCAAGGCUGAAACUUAAAGGAAUUGGCGGGGGAGCACCACAAGAGGUGGAGGCUGCGGUUCAAUUGGACUCAACGCCGGAAACUCAUCGGGAGCGACAGCAACAUGAAGGCCAGGCUGAAGACUUUGCCGGAUUAGCUGAGAGGUGGUGCAUGGCGUAG
Molecule: ribosomal RNA, 254 nt
Filed under: uncultured archaeon
Lineage: Archaea
Description: partial 16S ribosomal RNA
Rfam family: Archaeal small subunit ribosomal RNA
Source: RNAcentral